UCACGUCUUGUCUUUUUCCUUAUUUUUUUUGAACGAAAUCUUUUUCCUUAUUUCUUCUUAGGGAUAUCGCACGCUCACGUUACAAACCACAACCCGGCCUGGUGAUUUUUCCCUCAUUUUUUUUAUUUAUACAUGCACACACAAGUCACACCAGUAGUAGUCCUAAUUAGACACUAACGUAACUCAUAUGAGAACCUUGUUUGAAGACAUUUUAUACCAAAAUUCGGCGCAAAAUUGGAUCAAUGCAGGAAAAGAAAAAUGGUCGUCAGCUGCAUGC
Molecule: long non-coding RNA, 277 nt
Filed under: Brachypodium distachyon (stiff brome)
Lineage: Eukaryota; Viridiplantae; Streptophyta; Magnoliopsida; Poales; Poaceae
Description: long non-coding RNA (BDIS_LNC000131)
Source: RNAcentral